Molecule: ribosomal RNA, 493 nt
Filed under: uncultured bacterium
Lineage: Bacteria
Description: bacterial SSU rRNA
Rfam family: Bacterial small subunit ribosomal RNA
Source: RNAcentral
AAUCAACGCUGGCGGCGUGCCUCAGACAUGCAAGUCGAACGAUUAAAGCUCUCUUCGGAGAGUGUAUAGAGUGGCGCACGGGUGAGUAACACGUAAGUAAUCUACCCUCGAGUGGGGAAUAACGUUCGGAAACGGACGCUAAUACCGCAUAACGCAGCGGCACCGCAAGGUGACAGUUGUUAAAGGAGCAAUCCGCUUGAGGAGGAGCUUGCGGCAGAUUAGCUAGUUGGUAGGGUAAUGGCUUACCAAGGCUACGAUCUGUAUCCGGUCUAAGAGGACGGUCGGACACACUGACACUGAAUAACGGGUCAGACUCCUACGGGAGGCAGCAGUCGGGAAUUUUGGGCAAUGGGCGAAAGCCUGACCCAGCAACGCCGCGUGAAGGAUGAAGUAUUCGGUAUGUAAACUUCGAAAGAAUAGGAAGAAUAAAUGACGGUACUAUUUAUAAGGUCCGGCUAACUACGUGCCAGCAGCCGCGGUAAGUCUCGCGUGA